RNAcentral lists this transfer RNA (75 nucleotides) under Candidatus Woesebacteria bacterium. RNAcentral describes it as "tRNA-Ile". It matches the Rfam family "tRNA". From Rfam's summary of the family: Transfer RNA (tRNA) molecules are approximately 80 nucleotides in length. Lineage: Bacteria; Candidatus Woeseibacteriota. RNAcentral also lists the same sequence under 2 other names. The record is from RNAcentral.
GGGUGCGUGGCUCAGUGGUAGAGCGCGUUCCUGAUAAGAACGAGGUCCAUGGUUCGAUCCCAUGCGCACCCACCA